AUUGAACGCUGGCGGCAGGCCUAACACAUGCAAGUCGAGCGGAUGAAGGGAGCUUGCUCCUGGAUUCGGCGGCGGACGGGUGAGUAAUGCCUAGGAAUCUGCCUGGUAGUGGGGGAUAACGUCCGGAAACGGGCGCUAAUACCGCAUACGUCCUGAGGGAGAAAGUGGGGGAUCUUCGGACCUCACGCUAUCAGAUGAGCCUAGGUCGGAUUAGCUAGUUGGUGGGGUAAAGGCCUACCAAGGCGACGAUCCGUAACUGGUCUGAGAGGAUGAUCAGUCACACUGGAACUGAGGCACGGUCCAGACUCCUACGGGAGGCAGCAGUGGGGAAUAUUGGACAAUGGGCGAAAGCCUGAUCCAGCCAUGCCGCGUGUGUGAAGAAGGUCUUCGGAUUGUAAAGCACUUUAAGUUGGGAGGAAGGGCAGUAAGUUAAUACCUUGCUGUUUUGACGUUACCAACAGAAUAAGCACCGGCUAACUUCGUG
This 484-nucleotide ribosomal RNA is filed under the name uncultured bacterium. RNAcentral's name for it is "partial 16S ribosomal RNA". It matches the Rfam family "Bacterial small subunit ribosomal RNA", at positions 30 to 507 of the family's 1533-position model. The record is from RNAcentral.